RNAcentral lists this ribosomal RNA (478 nucleotides) under uncultured bacterium. RNAcentral describes it as "partial 16S ribosomal RNA". It matches the Rfam family "Bacterial small subunit ribosomal RNA", at positions 28 to 507 of the family's 1533-position model. The record is from RNAcentral.
GAUGAACGCUAGCGGCAGGCCUAACACAUGCAAGUCGAGGGAGAAGCCCUUUCGGGGGCAGAAACCGGCGCACGGGUGCGUAGCGCGUAUGCAACCUACCUUUCACAGGGGGAUAGCCCGAAGAAAUUUGGAUUAAUACCCCAUAAUAUUAUUGGAUGGCAUCAUUUGAUAAUUAAAACUGCGGUGGUGAAAGAUGGGCAUGCGUCCUAUUAGCUAGUUGGAGUGGUAACGGCACCCCAAGGCUACGAUAGGUAGGGGUCCUGAGAGGGAGAUCCCCCACACUGGUACUGAGACAGGGACCAGACUCCUACGGGAGGCAGCAGUGAGGAAUAUUGGUCAAUGGUCGGAAGACUGAACCAGCCAUGCCGCGUGCAGGAAGAAUGCCUUAUGGGUUGUAAACUGCUUUUAUAUGGGAAGAAUAAGGUGUACGUGUACAUUGAUGACGGUACCAUAUGAAUAAGCAUCGGCUAACUCCGUG